RNAcentral lists this small nucleolar RNA (312 nucleotides) under Sus scrofa (pig). The record is from RNAcentral. Lineage: Eukaryota; Metazoa; Chordata; Mammalia; Artiodactyla; Suidae.
CCCUAAAGAGACAAAAAUAAAUAAAUAAACCUUAUUUCACCAUCCAGAACUAGGUCUCGUUUUAUUUUUUAAAUCUUUUUGCCAUAUUUUUUCACAGUGCUAUACAGUGCUGCAUUUAAAUCUUGCACAUUCGUCUUACAUCAUGAAACUGUUCUCGAUACAAAACAUCAAACCAGAAACUUGGUUUUCCUGGCCUUACCUCAAUUUCUGCUGCUGCCUCCUGUUCCUGGCAACUCCUGCAGGGAGGAUCCAUGGGUAAGGCAUACAGUAGGGCUAGGCACGAGCCAUCCUGAUGCGACUUUGGUUCUGAGA